AUCUUGCAGAACAGACUGCACUGGCUUCAUUGAAAGACAUGCUCCUCUUGGUCCUUGACUAGCUUAAGACAUCAUCAGAACCCCAGGAAAAUGUCACGAUGUAGGUGCAGAAAUCCUAAUCGCAGCAGGCGGAGACGAAAACGGGGUUCUGGAAGAUCAAGGAAAAGAAGGACGGGAAGAAGAGUCUCUGUAGCUCAUACAGUUUACUACUACAGGAAGAUCAAAUAGCUUUGCGAACCUCCCAUUCUAUGCAACAGUUCUGGACAUUUCGGUCAUCACCAACAAGAUGAUUUCUGAAUGAACCACAGUUCCAGCAAAGCACAUGGUUUGACAUUCCCGUUGCUGCUUCCCCAAAGAGGAGCAUUCUGUCAAUAAAAACCUGAAGCCGCAA
Long non-coding RNA from Crotalus tigris (Tiger rattlesnake), 391 nucleotides. RefSeq lists it as uncharacterized. The record is from RefSeq and is a predicted model, not a curated record. Lineage: Eukaryota; Metazoa; Chordata; Lepidosauria; Squamata; Viperidae. The transcript has 2 exons.